GUUCCGGGGUCCGGAAUUUAGCCAUGCUAGUUGCACGGGUUCAGACUCGUAGCAUAUAGCUCAGUAACACGUGGCCAAACUACCCUACAGACCGCAAUAACCUCGGGAAACUGAGGCCAAUAGCGGAUAUAACUCUCAUGCUGGAGUGCCGAGAGUUAGAAACGUUCCGGCGCUGUAGGAUGUGGCUGCGGCCGAUUAGGUAGAUGGUGGGGUAACGGCCCACCAUGCCGAUAAUCGGUACAGGUUGUGAGAGCAAGAGCCUGGAGACGGUAUCUGAGACAAGAUACCGGGCCCUACGGGGCGCAGCAGGCGCGAAACCUUUACACUGCACGACAGUGCGAUAGGGGGACUCCGAGUGUGAGGGCAUAUAGCCCUCGCUUUUCUGAACCGUAAGGUGGUACAGGAACAAGGACUGGGCAAGACCGGUGCCAGCCGCCGCGGUAAUACCGGCAGUCCAAGUGAUGGCCGAUAUUAUUGGGCCUAAAGCGUCCGUAGCUUGCUGUGUAAGUCCAUUGGGAAAUCGACCAGCUCAACUGGUCGGCGUCCGGUGGAAACUACACAGCUUGGGGCCGAAAGACUCAACGGGUACGUCCGGGGUAGGAGUGAAAUCCUGUAAUCCUGGACGGACCACCAAUGGGGAAACCACGUUGAGAGACCGGA
Molecule: ribosomal RNA, 660 nt
Filed under: Haloarcula quadrata
Lineage: Archaea; Methanobacteriati; Methanobacteriota; Halobacteria; Halobacteriales; Haloarculaceae
Description: bacterial SSU rRNA
Rfam family: Archaeal small subunit ribosomal RNA
Source: RNAcentral